GACGAACGCUGGCGGCGUGCUUAACACAUGCAAGUCGAACGGGCCUGUCUUCUUUUUUGGGGGGUGGGUUGAGUGGCGAACGGGUGAGUAUCACGUGAGUAACCUGCCCUUCGGUCCUGGAUAACCGCUUGAAAGGGCGGCUAAUACGGGGUGGUCCGGUUGGUCCGCAUGGGCUGGUCGGGAUAGAUUCACUGUUUUUGGUGUUUCGGCGGGGGAUGGGCUCGCGGCCUAUCAGCUUGUUGGUGGGGUGAUGGCCUACCAAGGCGGUGACGGGUAGCCGGCCUGAGAGGGUGGGCGGCCACACUGGGACUGAGAUACGGCCCAGACUCCUCGGGAGGCAGCAGUGGGGGGUAUUGCACAAUGGGCGGAAGCCUGAUGCAGCGACGUCGCGUGAGGGAUGGAGGCCUUCGGGUUGUGAACCUCUGUUUCCGGUGGUGAAGGCCCUGUCCGUGUGG
Molecule: ribosomal RNA, 455 nt
Filed under: Actinomyces sp. oral taxon 414
Lineage: Bacteria; Bacillati; Actinomycetota; Actinomycetes; Actinomycetales; Actinomycetaceae
Description: bacterial SSU rRNA
Rfam family: Bacterial small subunit ribosomal RNA
Source: RNAcentral